Molecule: ribosomal RNA, 710 nt
Filed under: Helvella semiobruta
Lineage: Eukaryota; Fungi; Ascomycota; Pezizomycetes; Pezizales; Helvellaceae
Description: eukaryotic LSU rRNA
Rfam family: Eukaryotic large subunit ribosomal RNA
Source: RNAcentral
UUGCCCCAGUAACGGCGAGUGAAGCGGCAGCAGCUCAAAUUUGAAAUCUGGGGCCCUCGGCCCCCGAGUUGUAAUUUGGAGAGGCACCUUCUGGGGGGAGCGCCGGCCCAUGUUCCUUGGAACAGGACGUCACAGAGGGUGAGAAUCCCGUGCGAGGCCGGCUGCCUCCUCCCGUGUGAAGGACCUUCGACGAGUCGAGUUGUUUGGGAAUGCAGCUCCAAGUGGGUGGUAAAUUUCAUCUAAAGCUAAAUACCGGCGGGAGACCGAUAGCGCACAAGUAGAGUGAUCGAAAGAUGAAAAGCACUUUGAAAAUAGAGUCAAAAAGUACGUGAAAUUGUUGAAAGGGAAGCGCUUGAGACCAGACUCGGGCCCGGGCUAACAUCGUGCCCCUCGGGGCCGUGCAAUUGCCCGGGGCUGGGCCAGCAUCAGUUGGUGUGGCGGGAUAAAGGCGCGGGCAAUGUGGCUCCCCUCGGGGAGUGUUAUUAGGCCCGCGCUCAAUGCCGCCGACGCCGACUGAGGACCGCGCCUCGGCUAGGAUGCUGGCUUAAUGGCCUUCAGCGACCCGUCUUGAAACACGGACCAAGGAGUCUAACAUCUAUGCGAGUGUUUGGGCGUCAAACCCUUGCGCGUAAUGAAAGUGAGCGGAGGUGGGAACCCCUCGCGGGGCGCACCAUCGACCGAUCCUGAUGUCUUCGGAUGGAUUUGAGUAG